This 919-nucleotide long non-coding RNA is filed under the name Solanum tuberosum (potato). Its description in RNAcentral is "long non-coding RNA (STUB_LNC002678)". Lineage: Eukaryota; Viridiplantae; Streptophyta; Magnoliopsida; Solanales; Solanaceae. The record is from RNAcentral.
AAUUAGAUAAGCAAACCAACUUUAUUUUAAUUAAACUACCCCAAAUAAAUAUAAUUAUAAACAGAUAAAGGGACAAAAGGAAAGGGAGACGCUGAAGGACUUUAGGAUCAGUACUCGACUUUUCUUUAUUUCGGUCGGCUUCUCGUAGGGACAGACAAAACCAAGGUUUGUCAUUUAGACCGAGUCGAUGUCAUCAUAUCCAUAGGGCCUAGACUACCCCUACCCUACCACCGCAUGCUUAACGUCUCUACAAGGUGCCUAUCGUCCCCGCUUAAGGUCCAAGAGGCAUUGGACUACUAUUAGGGUGGGUAUAGACUAAAAAGAAAUAUAAUAGGCCCAUCUAGACACCAAGUCAAACAAUUUGGACGAGCAUUUAGCACAUAGAGUCUCAUGUUAGCCUCUAGAUUUUAUUAAACAUGCUAACAAACACAAGUAAUGUGAAAGGAAUCAUGCUAAGUGUGUGUGCAUACAAACAUGUAUUGACAACAUAAUUAUAACGAUUUAUUUUAUGAAUUUUAAAGGGGCGGAAAAUUGAUACAAGUGCAAAAGAUUUAAUGAUUUAAAAGAGUGGCAUAACAAUGAUUAGGAUGCGGGAAAUAGUUUAAGCAGUAGCAGAUUUAAAGUCUUUAGAUGAGCCAGUGGCAGAAUGUCAUUGAUUAAUAUGCAGAAACUGAUUUAAUUUAUUUUAAGUGGCAAAACAGUGCAGAGAUUAGUUUGAACAAAAUUUAAUCGGGAUAGCAAGUAGCAGAUGCAGAAAAAUGACUUUUUAGUAGCUGAUUUUCAGUACCUAAACAGAGCAGAAUCUAAUUGGUUUGAGCCAGAUUCAAUCUAGGCAGUAGAUAAUAAUUUUUAAAAUGAAACAGGAUUUCUCUCCUUUUAUUUAAUAAUAUGCUGAUUAACAUCUCAACUUGUUAAUUAU